CCCUAGCCCUGAUAGAAGCGGUAUCCUUUUAUUUUUUUUCUUUAGAAAAAAUAAAAGAUACAAGCGGAUAGCAGGAAAUAGC
Molecule: small RNA, 82 nt
Filed under: Flavobacterium pectinovorum
Lineage: Bacteria; Pseudomonadati; Bacteroidota; Flavobacteriia; Flavobacteriales; Flavobacteriaceae
Description: Flavo-1 RNA
Rfam family: Flavo-1 RNA
Source: RNAcentral